UGGGGAAUAUUGCACAAUGGGGGAAACCCUGAUGCAGCGACGCCGCGUGAGUGAAGAAGUAAUUCGUUAUGUAAAGCUCUAUCAGCAGGGAAGAAAAUGACGGUACCUGAGUAAGAAGCCCGGCUAACUACGUGCC
Molecule: ribosomal RNA, 136 nt
Filed under: uncultured bacterium
Lineage: Bacteria
Description: partial 16S ribosomal RNA
Rfam family: Bacterial small subunit ribosomal RNA
Source: RNAcentral